GAUGAACGCUAGCUACAGGCUUAACACAUGCAAGUCGAGGGGUAACGAGAGGAAAGCUUGCUUUCCUUGUCGACGACCGGCGCACGGGUGAGUAACGCGUAUCCAACCUGCCCCCAACUAAGGAAUAACCUUGCGAAGGUAAGACUAAUACCUUAUAAUUUCCUCAGAUGUCAUCUGACGAGGAAUAAAGAUUUAUCGGUUGUGGAUGGGGAUGCGUCUGAUUAGCUUGUUGGCGGGGUAACGGCCCACCAAGGCAACGAUCAGUAGGGGUUCUGAGAGGAAGGUCCCCCACAUUGGAACUGAGACACGGUCCAAACUCCUACGGGAGGCAGCAGUGAGGAAUAUUGGUCAAUGGGCGAAAGCCUGAGCCAGCAAAGUAGCGUGAAGGAUGAGGGUCCUAUGGAUUGUAAACUUCUUUUAUAGUAGAAUAAAGUGAUCCACGUGUGGAUUUUUGUAUGUAUACUAUGAAUAAGGAUCGGCUAACUCCGUGCCAGCCGCCGCCGUAA
Molecule: ribosomal RNA, 506 nt
Filed under: uncultured bacterium
Lineage: Bacteria
Description: partial 16S ribosomal RNA
Rfam family: Bacterial small subunit ribosomal RNA
Source: RNAcentral